This 465-nucleotide ribosomal RNA is filed under the name uncultured bacterium. Its description in RNAcentral is "partial 16S ribosomal RNA". It matches the Rfam family "Bacterial small subunit ribosomal RNA", at positions 28 to 507 of the family's 1533-position model. The record is from RNAcentral.
GGCGAACGCUGGCGGCGUGCUUAACACAUGCAAGUCGUACGGUAAGGCCCUUUCGGGGGUACACGAGUGGCGCACGGGUGAGUAACACGUGAGUAACCUGCCCACAACUUUGGGAUAACGCUAGGAAACUGGUGCUAAUACUGGAUAUGUGCUCCUGCUGCAUGGUGGGGGUUGGAAAGCUCCGGCGGUUGUGGAUGGACUCGCGGCCUAUCAGCUUGUUGGUGGGGUAGUGGCCUACCAAGGCGGCGACGGGUAGCCGGCCUGAGAGGGUGACCGGCCAAAUUGGGACUGAGAUACGGCCCAGACUCCUACGGGAGGCAGCAGUGGGGAAUAUUGCACAAUGGGCGCAAGCCUGAUGCAGCAACGCCGCGUGCGGGAUAACGGCCUUCGGGUUGUAAACCGCGUUCAGCAGGGACGAAGCUUUUUGUGACGGUACCUGCAGAAGAAGCACCGGCUAACUACGUG